Molecule: ribosomal RNA, 492 nt
Filed under: uncultured bacterium
Lineage: Bacteria
Description: partial 16S ribosomal RNA
Rfam family: Bacterial small subunit ribosomal RNA
Source: RNAcentral
AGUGAACGCUGGCGGUAGGCCUAACACAUGCAAGUCGAACGGCAGCACAGUAAGAGCUUGCUCUUACGGGUGGCGAGUGGCGGACGGGUGAGGAAUACAUCGGAAUCUACUUUUUCGUGGGGGAUAACGUAGGGAAACUUACGCUAAUACCGCAUACGACCUACGGGUGAAAGCAGGGGAUCUUCGGACCUUGCGCGAUUGAAUGAGCCGAUGUCGGAUUAGCUAGUUGGCGGGGUAAAGGCCCACCAAGGCGACGAUCCGUAGCUGGUCUGAGAGGAUGAUCAGCCACACUGGAACUGAGACACGGUCCAGACUCCUACGGGAGGGAGCAGUGGGGAAUAUGGGACAAUGGGCGCAAGCCUGAUCCAGCCAUACCGCGUGGGUGAAGAAGGCCUUCGGGUUGUAAAGCCCUUUUGUGGGGAAAGAAAAGCAGCAGGUUAAUACCCCGCUGUUCUGACGGUACCCAAAGAAUAAGCACCGGCUAACUUCGUG